This 253-nucleotide ribosomal RNA is filed under the name uncultured bacterium. RNAcentral describes it as "partial 16S ribosomal RNA". It matches the Rfam family "Bacterial small subunit ribosomal RNA", at positions 524 to 776 of the family's 1533-position model. The record is from RNAcentral.
UACGUAGGGUGCGAGCGUUGUCCGGAAUUAUUGGGCGUAAAGAGCUCGUAGGCGGCCUGUCGCGUCGGAUGUGAAAGCCCGGGGCUUAACCGCGGGCUUGCAGUUGAUACGGGCAGGCUAGAGUUCGGUAGGGGAGACUGGAAUUCCUGGUGUAGCGGUGAAAUGCGCAGAUAUCAGGAGGAACACCGGUGGCGAAGGCGGGUCUCUGGGCCGAUACUGACGCUGAGGAGCGAAAGCGUGGGGAGCGAACAGG